Molecule: long non-coding RNA, 1428 nt
Organism: Mus musculus (house mouse)
Lineage: Eukaryota; Metazoa; Chordata; Mammalia; Rodentia; Muridae
Product: predicted gene, 40261
Exons: 3
Source: RefSeq, a predicted model, not a curated record
UUUGAUGAUAUGUCCAUCUACUAUCUAAAUAAGAACAGUAUCAUGGGAAAUGUGGCCCAGAGUUCACUUAAGAUCCGUAGCAGGCUCCUGCCUGCAGCUUCCAGAUCGGCAGCCACAAAUGAGUUGCAUUAAGAUUCUCUUCGGUGCUAUAGAGCCAUCUGGGUCUGCGUUACACGCGGGAGUGUUGAAGACCUCCCUGGAUUGAAUGCUGGUGCUGUGUGCUGUUUAGGACCAAUGCACUGUGUAAAUUAUAAACCAAGGCAGCUCUGAAGCAGUUUAGCAUGCUUGCACAUGGAAGGACACAGUGAAGAUGGCGACCUGCAGUUCUCCCUUUACAAACCCACCCCUCCCCUCCUGCUUCUAUGAGGGUACUCACUCAUCCACUUCCGCCUCACCACCCUAGCAUUCUUCUAUGCUGGGGCAUCAAGCCUUCAAAGGACCAAGGGCCUCCUCUCUCAUUGAUGCCAGAUUGUAGCCUCCCAUAAGCCUGAAACAGGCUAAACCAGAACCUGACCUUGCUGCCACUAAGAAGAUUAUCUAGGGUGGAGCCUUCCUCCCUAGAUCACGCUAUUGUUCUGCCACUGCUGCUGUUCCUCUUCAAGAUACUGCUACCUGCUGAGAGGCCCCGGAGCUAUUCUGGAGAUUAUGCCCUAUCGUGCACAUCAUUACCUGCAGCUGGUUCCAGGUUCCAAGGAUGAAUUGGAGGGAAUGGACUUAACCCCCUCUUUUAUAAGGCGUGUUCCCCAACAUUAAAAUUUGAACCUUGAUCAGAACCCUGUCUUGGUUCCAUCUUCCUCUCCUCGCCUAGUUUCCCUCUUUUUCAUUGCUGGCCUACUAUACAGGUGUACCCGUCCUUGUGAGCCGCUAGAUGGCUCGCAACACCAGAUAAGGCCAUCUUCUGCUACAUAUGCAGCUGGAGCCAUGGGUCCCUCCAUGUGUAUUCUUUGGUUGGUGGUUUAGUCCUUGGGAGCUCUGGGAGGUCUGGAUGGUUGAUAUGAAAGAAAAUAAAACUUGAGACCUGUGAUUCAUGUAAUGUAUGUCAAAUAGCCCAAAGACUUGUUUGUGAGCUUUGAAACCUGGGGCUGAGAACAUAGAAGAACAGGCCAGGACAUGCCUGGGCAGGCCCCUCAUUAAGACAUUCCUGAGGCUGCUUGGCCAUGAAGAUAAAGAGAAUGCAUGUCCAGACUGGCCCAGCGCCUCCCUAUCUCCCGCCCUGCUGACCUAAGUUAAAUGUUAUCUGCAUGUACAGUCUGCUGAUGUUUAAAUGGACCAAUCAUGUGAAACCUCGCCAAAUCCUCCCCCAGCCCCAGCCCCUUUUCUAUAAAAAUCCCUAGCUUCCAAGCCUCAUGGUCGAAUCAACUGUCUCCUGCGUGAGAUUCGUUUUGACCCAGAGCUCCGCCAUUAAACUACCUCGUGUUUUUACAUCAA